UGAAUGGACAAUAUCCUCCGCCUUAAAACUUCAUGCAACACAAGACAACAAAAAGACGAGGAGCACACGCCAGCCCUCAGUCAGCAGCCCAUUCAAAGGUCAAACAGCAACGAAGAAAAACAUAGCAGCAUUGUUAGGGAGAGGAACAAUGAUUUCCAUCUGCAUGAUGCUCGUCACUCUGGCAACAACAGUUCUGGCAAAAGGAUCUAUCGAAUGUAAUUUAUCCGAGCAUACUGAAACUAAGGUGUGUGUUGGAGCAGUGGGAGAGCUGUUGAUUUUCCAUCUGCCAAACACAGCAAAUACAUAUCUUAGGUUGAAAAAGGAUAAUGAAUAUUUGAUUUUAAAAAUACAAAACAAUCGGCUUGUAUUUAAACGUGAAGGAUUUGUGAAUCAGUAUGAACUCUUCAUGAAUGGAACAAUCAAACUGGGUAAUGCGAUGAAGAACCACUCUGGAGAUUACAAUUUGGAAGAAUACGGAUCUGAUGGUUCUUUCUUGAAAAAGUUGAAAGUGCAUCUAGAGG
This is a long non-coding RNA of Eleginops maclovinus (Patagonian blennie), 521 nucleotides long. RefSeq lists it as uncharacterized. NCBI's taxonomy places the organism in Eukaryota, Metazoa, Chordata, Actinopteri, Perciformes, Eleginopidae. The record is from RefSeq and is a predicted model, not a curated record. The transcript has 3 exons.